Molecule: ribosomal RNA, 253 nt
Filed under: uncultured bacterium
Lineage: Bacteria
Description: partial 16S ribosomal RNA
Rfam family: Bacterial small subunit ribosomal RNA
Source: RNAcentral
UACGGGGGGGGCAAGCGUUGUUCGGAAUUACUGGGCGUAAAGGGCUCGUAGGUGGCCAACUAAGUCAGACGUGAAAUCCCUCGGCUUAACCGGGGAACUGCGUCUGAUACUGGAUGGCUUGAGUUUGGGAGAGGGACGCGGAAUUCCUGGUGUAGCGGUGAAAUGCGCAGAUAUCAGGAGGAACACCGGUGGCGAAGGCGGGUCUCUGGGCCGAUACUGACGCUGAGGAGCGAAAGCGUGGGGAGCAAACAGG